Molecule: non-coding RNA, 781 nt
Organism: Musa acuminata subsp. malaccensis (wild Malaysian banana)
Lineage: Eukaryota; Viridiplantae; Streptophyta; Magnoliopsida; Zingiberales; Musaceae
Source: RefSeq, a predicted model, not a curated record
CGUCCCUCGCGCUCUCUGGCUCCCUUCUUCAUCUCAAGUACUCCCACGGAGGCGAGAGGAAGCCAUUUCGCGGCCACAUUGAUGGCGUCGCAGACCACCCCUCACCUUCGCCACCGCAGAUGAUGAGUUGAGUCUGUUAAAACCUUCGAUCGCAACAGCUGCCGCCGCGGGGAACAUACGCACCGCCGUUGAAAGAUACAAUCAAUGGAUGAUUCAAUAUGAACAUAGUUCUGAAAACUCUGUCCAGACAUGCUUGAUACAAGGAAUAUUGUGCUCAUUUGCGCUUCAUUAUUGAAGGUUGCACAUAUUGCUUUUGUUGUCUAAGGAGACAUCCAAGGGUCAUGUGAGAACCCCGACACUCGAAGGACGACUUGAAAUAUUGAGGUCAUGCCUACAAGAGCUUAUGUAAGCUGGCAUCGUUACAUAUCUUCAGGUAUUUUUCUCAACUUCAAUUUACGUAAUACCAUGCAUAUUGUUAUGAGAUUUUCAUUAGGUUAUUUUCAUUAGUUUGAGUUAUAUGGUGAUCAAUUUUGGAAUAGUGGAAUCAAAAGUUAUGGGAUCAGGCUUUCUGUUUGGCCAAGCGAGGCACAUUAAUUGCAAAUUUAUAAUCACACUUUGAAGUAUGGAAUACUUUUCUUGAUCUGGUACCAGCUAGGUUUAAAACUAUUGGUCUGCCCUUUACUUGUUGGGUCUUUAGGUAAAGUUGGGUUUACCUCUGUUUACUGUUAUGAACCCUUGGGUGCCUUUGGUCUCUUAGCUGACAUCUAACAUAAAUAUCUUG